Triticum aestivum (bread wheat) is the source of this 3476-nucleotide long non-coding RNA. RefSeq lists it as uncharacterized. NCBI's taxonomy places the organism in Eukaryota, Viridiplantae, Streptophyta, Magnoliopsida, Poales, Poaceae. The record is from RefSeq and is a predicted model, not a curated record. The transcript is spliced from 7 exons.
CCCGGCGGCGAGGACGGGAGAGAGGAGUGCGGUGCCGGUGCUGGCGGCAUAGAGGCUUGGAAAGGCGACGGAGCACGCGUGUCGAUGGAGCUGUGAGACGGGCGGUGGGAAGGAGGAAGAAGAGAGGAGAGAGCAAAUGGAUCCAGUAGGUCAAGGGGAUGGAGUUGGUGUAAUUUAAGGUGGGGUAGGUCUGUCAACUCCAACGUGGUGGCUGCGUCCGGGCGCCCCCAGGAUAUAAGGGAUGCCGGUCAGUCCAGGCAUUUGAGGCGCCCGUCUAAGACGAAUUUUCACGAUCAGUCAGUGACCGAGCCAUACGUCCAGACGUCUCUAUAGAUGCUCUAAGGGUCGGUUGGAUGUAUCAUAGGACGGAUGUACAUCAACCAAUGAUGUAAAAACAAAGAAAAUUGUAACACACCGACAAUUAUCUAGCAUCCUUAAAAGUACUAGUAAACGCGCACGUGCAACGCACGUGUAAUCUUAAUUCGGCUUGAAGAUAUACCUGAAUCUCUACUCCUAAUGAAGCAGUUGGUAGUCUCCGUCGAUUUUUUUUCGUCCCACCUUCGUCGGGUUUUUUUUCGUCCUCCUCCUAUGUCCCAGGUAACGAUGCCGUUGCACCUAACGCACGCAGAAAAAAAACCGGACAAAGACCACAUAGCGAGGGACCUCGAACGAAAAAUGUAGCGAUGUCCGUCGGACAAAAAAAACGGACGAACCGGGGGCGAUGCCCCCUCGCAUCCCCAUCCACCCACCCGUCCCGACCCUGGGCUAGGGUUCCAUACGCCGCCGCCUCCGGGCGGACCACAUACGCCGACGUCGAGGUCCGAAAGGAGAGGGCCGCCGCACUAUCUUCCGCCUCCACCGACCUCUGAGGCCCCCUACUCGUGGGACGACGCCGCCGCCGCCUUGCGGAACCCCAGGGCGGGGCAGGGCAUGGUCGCGUUGCGGGCAGCGAGGAGCGGCGCGCCGGCGCCGGCGCGUGCGUAGCCAGUUAGCGAGAGAGGAAGGGAGUGGCGACGAUGUCUUCGUGCGAGGACAAGGACUCUGCCGCCGCCCGGGCCGCGGCGACCACGGACGUGGAGCUGAUGAAGCGGUUUUGGCUCAGCGAGAAAGCCGCGCCGGAGAUCCUCCACUUCAAACCCACCUCGUCUCCCGUACCUUAUGGCCAUUGGUCGUGUCUUCGUUCUUCACAAUACUGAAUGUUUCUGAUUCUUCACAACCUGUGUGGUGAAACCAGGAGGAGACGUUCGAUGACUUCACGGAUAACGGCAUCGACAAUCUGGUGGUCUCGCUGUACCAGAUGGAGCUCGACCGCAUGCUCUUCUUGCUCUGCUUCUACCUACGCCUCCUCCUGCAAAAGGUCAGACUGAAUUCUGCAAAAGAUUGAGAAGUACAUGGCGCACAUCUUCAAUUCUGACGACCUCUUGAGCUGGUUGACGCAGCAGGAGCAGUGAUGCGCCAAGAGUUGGAGGCUGCAAGGAGAUCCUGGAGAAGCAUCUCGAGCAGCCGGUGAUGUCGAAGCUUCCCUACAGUUAUGAUUCGGGUCACGUCCGCGCUGGUGUACACGGCGCUGGAGUGGAUCCUCAUCACGCUGCUGCACAUCACAUGCUCCUCUUCCACUCCAUUGCCCGCUGGAGUGGAUCCUCAGGCCACCUUGCCUCCUCUGCUCCCGCGGAGAACGGCCAGCAGGCGGCAACACGCGGUCGCUGCGUGAACUCUGUGCCGAAGAUCUCCGGGCUGGGCUACUGCCUCCACCACCGCCGGCUCGUCGCCUCCGCCGCCGACAUGUGCGAGGGAUGCCUGAUGACGAAGGAUGCAGAGGAGAAGGGCACCGUGGUGUUUUCUUGCUGCAGAGCUCUCAUACAGAUUUCUUCUUCACACAAGCUGGAGGACACACAUACUACAAGGGAAGAAGAUCCUUCUGUACAAGGGAAGACAGCCGAAGAAGAAGAAAAUCAAGGCUAUGUUCUGCUGGAUCAAGAAGACCAUGAAGAGGAAGAACACGAGCAGGCACAGGUGGACCAGCAAGGGGAUAUUUAGGUGGCUGCCGUGGAGGACGAGUCCUAGGAGUUCAUGGUUCAGGGCGAAGAGAUCACACCCGACAACGAUCGAUUGGUGCCGGUGCUGGUGCCCACACUUGAUGAAAUGACAAUUGCUAAUGAUUUUGGUCUGCAUCCGGAGACCGGCGAGCAGUAUGAACAAAAUAAUAAUCGCGUGUUUUUCCCUCGGCUUCUUGUACCCCAACCUCUCGGACCCCUUGAACGGGGAGGCCGCUUCGCUGAUGAUGCGCGACAAGAAAUCAUAUGACCAAAAAGUCCAAGAAUCUGAUACGUGACGAUCGGACGGACAAAAAAGUUCGGUGUGUGACGAUCGGAUUUCUUCUUCUUCUUCAUGCUGUACUCUCCAUCUCUUGUCUCUUUCUCAUGGCGGUGUGUGACUGUUGAUCGAGGACCGCAGCGUCAGCUACCCAGGUAUAAGCGCGUGGUUGCGUGCCGACCGUCGACUGGGACGCACAUGAGGCUACCAUUCUUCUACCGGUACGCAGCAGCCAAGUGCCACCGCCGAGCCCUUGAUUUGCAUCCUCCCGGGGCACCAUAAAUGGAGCACCAAGGUUAAAAAAGCCCCAUGUUGUUGGCCUCCUUUCUAUUGAAAUAUAUCAUUUUACAUGCUCACACUACUGGAAUCGUCACGUACACCGAGUGCCAAGAACACUCGGCAAAGGGCCAAAAACCCUCGGCAAAGUCUUUGCCGAGAGUUGCACUCGGCAAAGCCCACCCGGCGUACACCUCUUCGGCAAACAGAUUUUUGCCGAGAGCCAUUUGUCGGACACUCGGCAAAGACAUUGCCGAGUUUCAAAUAGAGGCGCUCGGCAAAGAAAAGUGAUCAGAAGAAACAGAGCAAACGGCGCUAUAGCCACAUGGCGCAGGAGGUUUGCCGAGAGCGCCACUCGGUAAAAGUAGUGAAUAAAACAAAAAAAAAAUUGCACCGCCCGAUCCCGUCCCAGAUUUAAUCGUGGCCAAAUCCAGUCGCCGGCGCUGCUCCCAUCGCGUGUGCCCCGCCCACGCACCCGUGGUGGUCACCGUAGUGCCGCAAUGGCCGCGUUGGUGAGCUGCGCACAGGCCUCCGACGUUCAGGGAAGGCACAGAUCAAGAGGAGGACGGCGAGAUGCAGUGUUGCACGGAGCAGCCGCCUCCUCACGCCUUGCGUCAAAGCCACCGGACUGAUGCUGCUUGCACACGUGCUUGACCACUUGUUGCUGUCGUGGCCGAGAAAGAGGAGCAGCAGCGGCGGCCGGGGCUGUUGUUGCUUGCGCGUGCUUGCUGCUGCUUGGUGCUUCGGCCGAUGCUUGCGGCUGCGCCGCUGCUGUCCGGCGAGGAGCAGCGAGUGUAGCCUGCUGCUGCUGCUUGGGUGAAGAAGAAGAAGAAGAAGAAGAAGAAGAAGAAGAAGAAGAAGAAGGGGACAGGACCUGUGGCGGCGCG